UGGGGGAAUAUUGCACAAUGGGGGAAACCCGUGAUGCAGCGACGCCGCGUGAGCGAUGAAGUAUUUCGGUAUGUAAAGCUCUAUCAGCAGGGAAGAAAAUGACGGUACCUGACUAAGAAGCCCCGGCUAACUACGUGCC
This 139-nucleotide ribosomal RNA is filed under the name uncultured bacterium. RNAcentral describes it as "partial 16S ribosomal RNA". It matches the Rfam family "Bacterial small subunit ribosomal RNA", at positions 354 to 509 of the family's 1533-position model. The record is from RNAcentral.